AUGUCUUUUCAGAGAGAACUUAUGGGACCAAAACCAGAAGCUCUUAACACUGUGACCUAAGAUUGAAGUUCUCCAUAGGAUAAUAGACACUCAAUAGUGCUGUUUUCCUGAGGAGAUACUGUA
Small nucleolar RNA from Molossus molossus (Pallas's mastiff bat), 123 nucleotides. RefSeq annotates it as small nucleolar RNA SNORA25. The record is from RefSeq and is a predicted model, not a curated record. Lineage: Eukaryota; Metazoa; Chordata; Mammalia; Chiroptera; Molossidae. The transcript has a single exon.